AGAACUACUUGCUAAUGCGUCAGCUUUAAAUAAUAUCUGGUGUUUCUGAAGGCAACAGCUUCACAAGUUGUAGUUAGUGAAGAUGAAGAAUCUCUUCCUCCCUCUGACUGUCCCAGACUGAACUGUAUCCAGUGAUCCACAAAGUGUCCCGUCUGGUGAAUGGAAAGGAGCAGCUUAAAAGUCAAGAAGUUCAAAAUUCAAGUGCCUGUCAUGCCCUCACGUGGCCCUCUGACUUGGGUCUUCCAUUGGUGUAACCCCUCAGGCUGUGGCAAAGGAGGUAGAGCUAAACCUACUUCCACACUACUUGAGGAUCAGUAAUAAGUUGCAUUUUUUUGUGGAGAGAAGCAACACAGCAGACAGCGAGAGGAAUGCUUUACAGAACAGGUCCCUGCCAUGGGCUGUGGUGAAGAACAGCCUUGCCACAGCUCAGGGAACUUUCAGAGAGAUGAGAGCCAAGCACUAGGACUGCGAUAUCUGAUAGACCAGGAUAAUUAGCAACAUGCAUCAAACUUUUGGAUGUAGAGGCUGCCUUUGAAGCUAUGUGGCAGUAGCUUGUACCAAUGCUGCAAGGAUCAUCACGCCACAUCUGGAAACCAGUCCUCCAGAUGAAGAGGGUAGCUGUCACCACCUCAGUUCCUACCUCUCGGUGUCCAGCCAUUUGGAGAUGCAUCCUGUGCAAAGUGGCAAUUGAAGUCUUCAGUGCCAUCAUCAACAGCUUUUAUAGUAUACAUCUGCAGAAGCAUCAGUGAUUUUUCUUGGACUUUUGUAAUAUCCUGACCUGUGAGGU
This is a non-coding RNA of Struthio camelus australis, 787 nucleotides long. The record is from RefSeq and is a predicted model, not a curated record. Lineage: Eukaryota; Metazoa; Chordata; Aves; Struthioniformes; Struthionidae.